GACGAACGCUGGCGGCGUGGAUUAGGCAUGCAAGUCGAACGGUAGGAAUCCUUCGGGGUUCUGAGAGUGGCGAACGGGUGAGUAACACGUAGGUGAUCUACCUUCAAGUGGGGGACAACCCAGGGAAACUUGGGCUAAUACCGAAUGAGAGUACUAUUUGUUUAGUAUUUAAAAGAUGGCAGUAAUGCUGUUGUUUGAGGAUGAGCUUGCGUCCCAUUAGCUAGUUGGUGAGGUAACGGCUCACCAAGGCGAUGAUAGGUAGGCGGCCUUAACGGGUGGUCGCCCACACUGGGAUUGAGAUACGGCCCAGACACCUACGGGAGGCAG
RNAcentral lists this ribosomal RNA (327 nucleotides) under uncultured Spirochaetota bacterium. RNAcentral describes it as "bacterial SSU rRNA". It matches the Rfam family "Bacterial small subunit ribosomal RNA", at positions 28 to 351 of the family's 1533-position model. The record is from RNAcentral. Lineage: Bacteria; Pseudomonadati; Spirochaetota.